AGAACCAGGGCACCAGGGAUGCCACGAUGAGCAGCUCGGAGAGCAUCUGUCGUCUCUACGAGGUCGGUCGGCAACGAGAGGAGGACGACGACGAGGAUGCAGAUGACGACGAGUCUGACAAUAUGGGUGAAGAGGACACCGAUGAGGACGAUGACGACGACUCCGGUGAAGAUGAAGACGAAGACAGCUCACUGAUUCAGUUGGUCGCUGAGGUGACUUUAUAUUGAGUCAAGACACGGCAUGCAUUGAAGGUGCGGCCUCGUUUCUUUCCUCAUCAUCUUGGACGACUUCGCUUAGCCGCAGCCACCAUCCUCAUAUGGGCUCACAUUGGCUGUUGCAGUUUCAAAGGAAUUAAAACAACUUAAGAAAAUCCCAGUA
Molecule: long non-coding RNA, 378 nt
Organism: Dermacentor albipictus
Lineage: Eukaryota; Metazoa; Arthropoda; Arachnida; Ixodida; Ixodidae
Source: RefSeq, a predicted model, not a curated record